Molecule: ribosomal RNA, 214 nt
Filed under: Salmonella enterica subsp. enterica serovar Infantis
Lineage: Bacteria; Pseudomonadati; Pseudomonadota; Gammaproteobacteria; Enterobacterales; Enterobacteriaceae
Also listed under: 2 other names
Description: partial 23S ribosomal RNA
Rfam family: Bacterial large subunit ribosomal RNA
Source: RNAcentral
UGGAAAGGCGCGCGAUACAGGGUGACAGCCCCGUACACAAAAGCGCAUGUGCUGUGAGCUCGAUGAGUAGGGCGGGACACGUGGUAUCCUGUCUGAAUAUGGGGGGACCAUCCUCCAAGGCUAAAUACUCCUGACUGACCGAUAGUGAACCAGUACCGUGAGGGAAAGGCGAAAAGAACCCCGGCGAGGGGAGUGAAAAAGAACCUGAAACCGU